GUUUUCCGUAUUCGAAUUCCUUAUUUAACUUUAUUGGAUGUAAGCCUGUAACAAUUAAACAUGGCCAUCACCACCUGCCAGAAGUUUCUAAAGCAUACAUACCCAUGAAGGUGAAAGGUAAUUCCACAAGGAUCAAUUCCCCAUCUAUUGAUUCUUAAAAGGGUUAUCGAAUUGGGUUGGUAUUCUGCUGGUGAAUUCUUGGUCCCCUACUCCACUUUCUCAUUUGAAGGUUUGAGCAUAUUUUAAGAUCAAUGUCCUAUUGAUCCAGGAAUAAAAUCUUGCCUGCUUUCAAAUUUACUUUACUUUUUGAAAUAUCGUAACCCUUUCGGCCUAUUAGAGGGACCUACAAGACUCGAUCCACCAAAAGUGGGCCAACCAAACCUGUAAGUCAUCAUCACUGUAUCAUAUUGAUCUGUACAUGGUGAAGGAAUAGAGUUAUCAUCUAUAGAUGGGCCCAAAACAAUAGGACAAUUCUUCGCAAGUGGGCUUUAAGAGCAUUGGAUGAAUAAAACCACACAAGGAGCCUACAGCAUCUACAGCUUUAUUAUAGCCCUACAACAAAAACUUGUAAUAUGUAGCAGCACUUUUGUAACUGUUGUCCUAUUCUUUGUAUUAAGCACUAUAACCUUGGUUUGAUGGAUGCCAUUGUCCGACGUCAAGGCCGUUGCACAUGGCAGUAGCAGCUUCUUCCAUGGAGACUUGAGAGACCCCUGUGUUGCAAAUAUUAGCAAAUGCACGCAUGUGUUUCAUGCCAUACUGGGUCAAUGAUCCGCAGUGUGUUUCAAACACACGAACCAUUGAUUUCAAGCAAUUCCAGUCAUCUACCAGGGGCAAGCCGGGUCCUCUAACAGAAUGAAGGAUGGAAGAACUUUUUUGGGGUCCAAACAAUAGAGUUCCAAUCAAUUCUAUGCUACUAUCCAAGUGCUUUCUAUGCUUUAUUGUCUCAGUGACCUGCUGGAGGAUUUGUGUCUUCUUUUCUGACCCAUCUUUUGACCUUUUGUACAUUUGCCACAUGAAGAGAAGCUCUGCAUCCCUCUGGUUAACAACAUCCAUAGGUGCACUGAUAUGGCCAUUUUUUGGAGGGAAGUUCACACUUGCAGGGUCAAAACCUUGAUAUAAAUAGACCCUUUCUGCUUUGAUACUUGUAUUCCCAUAUUCCAUCACAUGAGAUCCAGCAUUAUAAGUAUUACAAUUAGAAGUCCUGGCCUUUACCGUCUUAUACUGUUGCUUUAACGUUUCUUUCUUCAGAUUGUGCGACUCGCUGUCCUCCAUCCAAGCAACACUGUACAAAUCCCCUAAACAGGUGAUGAAUUCUGGAGGUGGAGGAGGCUCCAUCCCAGGACAGUAAGUUCCAAAGCUAUUCUCUUGUGCAUUUGAAGCUGUAGUGACAUAAAUGUUUAGAUCUUUGGGCAUGAUCCCUUCGAAAAUACUCCCACUUUCACAAGCUUCUACAUAUAUAAUCAUUUCUUUGUAGCCCCCAGCUGCCUGUUUCUUCUUCAAAACCUCGAUGAAAUCCAUUGCAUACACAAAAGGCGGAUUUGGCAUCCCAAGAACUCCAGGGCCUCCAUGAUCAGUAUAGUACAAGAAGAUCCUAUCAUUUGCCUUGCUAUUUACAACCUUGCCACUUCCACCCUUGACAGCACUUUUAUCCCCAAGAAGUACUGCAUACAGAUUCUUAGCAGUAACGUGCUCGCCGGUGUAAUCCUUAGGCACACCGGCAUAUACAUCUUCUCCCUGUGGAUGGUUGAUGAUAAUCCCAGGCCUUGGAUUCAAUUCAUUUUUAGCUAUAUCAUCAUACAUAAAAACUAUUAUGUUCUCCUCUUUUAAGCCUCCUUUUCUUAGAAGCUGAUAUGCAUGGCAAACAUCGGCCUGAUGCCUGUAAUUUCCGUAACCCCCUGAUCCGGCCACGAGAACUGCCCAUCUUGUGCCAAGUUGAUCAUCAUCAACUCCUGGUUCAACUUCCUCUGUGGGCAUGAGGAUCCCAGGCUCAAACCGGUUGAGCCGAGAGGCUAAACCACCUUCAAUAGAAAGAAAAGACAGUAUAACAACUAGAAACAGGGCAUAAUUGAAGAACAAGGUGAAUCUAUGGGUCUCCAUGCAGGGUGUGGAGGGCCAAGAAAACCAGAAACGGUGGAACACAAGCGAAAAUAUCACCUGGGCUAGUGAGAGAGUGAGUUUGAAAAGAAAGCAAGUAGUGAGGUGGCAUUUAAAGGGAGGGAGGAAAAGCCACGGAAGGCGCCAUGCAAAACAAGGGGUUGACACGUCUGGCAAAUGGCUGAGAAAGGUGGGUCCUACAAACGCUGUGGCUCUGGGUGCUUAUGGUUUGGUUUGAGAGGCUGCAUCGGUUUUCUUCUUCU
Molecule: unclassified non-coding RNA, 2357 nt
Filed under: Hevea brasiliensis (rubber tree)
Lineage: Eukaryota; Viridiplantae; Streptophyta; Magnoliopsida; Malpighiales; Euphorbiaceae
Source: RNAcentral